AUUGAACGCUGGCGGCAUGCUUUACACAUGCAAGUCGAACGGUAACAGGUUAAGCUGAUGAGUGGCGAACGGGUGAGUAAUGCAUCGGAACGUGCCCGAUCGUGGGGGAUAACGCAGCGAAAGCUGCGCUAAUACCGCAUACGAUCUGAGGAUGAAAGCGGGGGACCGUAAGGCCUCGCGCGAUCGGAGCGGCCGAUGUCAGAUUAGGUAGUUGGUGGGGUAAAGGCCCACCAAGCCGACGAUCUGUAGCUGGUCUGAGAGGACGACCAGCCACACUGGGACUGAGACACGGCCCAGACUCCUACGGGAGGCAGCAGUGGGGAAUUUUGGACAAUGGGCGAAAGCCCGAUCCAGCAAUGCCGCGUGCAGGAAGAAGGCCUUCGGGUUGUAAACUGCUUUUGUACGGAGCGAAAAGGUCCUUUCUAAUACAAGGGGCUCAUGACGGUACCGUAAGAAUAAGCACCGGCUAACUACGUGCCAGCCGCCGCGGUAA
This 493-nucleotide ribosomal RNA is filed under the name uncultured bacterium. RNAcentral describes it as "partial 16S ribosomal RNA". It matches the Rfam family "Bacterial small subunit ribosomal RNA", at positions 30 to 523 of the family's 1533-position model. The record is from RNAcentral.